GAGGCAGCAGUGGGGAAUUUUGGACAAUGGGCGCAAGCCUGAUCCAGCAAUGCCGCGUGCAGGAUGAAGGCCUUCGGGUUGUAAAGCUGCUUUUGUACGGAGCGAAAAGGCUCUCUCUAAUACAGGGGGCUCAUGACGGUACCGUAAGAAUAAGCACCGGCUAACUACGUGCCAGCAGCCGCGGUAAUACGUAGGGUGCAAGCGUUAAUCGGAAUUACUGGGCGUAAAGCGUGCGCAGGCGGUCUUGUAAGACAGGUGUGAAAUCCCCGGGCUUAACCUGGGAACUGCACUUGUGACUGCAAGGCUGGAGUACGGCAGAGGGGGAUGGAAUUCCGCGUGUAGCAGUGAAAUGCGUAGAUAUGCGGAGGAACACCGA
RNAcentral lists this ribosomal RNA (376 nucleotides) under uncultured Curvibacter sp. Its description in RNAcentral is "bacterial SSU rRNA". It matches the Rfam family "Bacterial small subunit ribosomal RNA", at positions 345 to 712 of the family's 1533-position model. Lineage: Bacteria; Pseudomonadati; Pseudomonadota; Betaproteobacteria; Burkholderiales; Comamonadaceae. The record is from RNAcentral.